Non-coding RNA from Triticum aestivum (bread wheat), 197 nucleotides. NCBI's taxonomy places the organism in Eukaryota, Viridiplantae, Streptophyta, Magnoliopsida, Poales, Poaceae. The record is from Rfam.
AUACCUUUCUCGGCCUUUUGGCUAAGAUCAAGUGUAGUAUUUGUUCUUAUCAGUUUAAUAUCUGAUAUGUGGAUUACAUGUCCACAACGAUAUUAAAUUUAUUUUUUGUGGGGGAGGAUCCACCAUAGUGGCUUGCCACUAGGGUCCUCGUGUGUUCCUCGGGCGUUGCACUACAGCCCGGGUGUGGCGCACCCCAA